Molecule: long non-coding RNA, 3141 nt
Filed under: Malus domestica (apple)
Lineage: Eukaryota; Viridiplantae; Streptophyta; Magnoliopsida; Rosales; Rosaceae
Description: long non-coding RNA (MDOM_LNC013278)
Source: RNAcentral
CAAUGUUGUUUGGAUGAGAAAGUUCAUUUAUGAACUCUCUAUUCGGUUCCAACCAGAAAGUGUAUCUAGUGUAUCGACACUAUGACACUAAUGGGGCGAUAGCUCAAGCCAGGGAAUCAAGGUCUCAUCAAGGUCCGAACUCAUAUGAGAGACUGAACCACAUGAUUGAGAAUCAUGUAUAAUGGUGACGUCGUUUUUCUCAAGGUUGCUUCUAUGGAUAACAUAUUGAUAGGAGCAUAUUUAUGCACCUUAGUUAGCUAGUUCUUAUGCAUUUAUGUUGUGUUUUCUUAGUUAAAGUAGUCUUUUAAGCUAUUUUCAUGUAUUUUCAGGUUUUAGAGACAAAGUGAGCAAAAGGAUGCAAUUUGGAGCAUUUUGGAGCAAAAUUGGGCUAGAAUGGAGUUCAUGCACAUGAAGCACAAGGGAUGGACGAAUUUGAAGGAUUGAUGAAGCUAGGAAUGUGUUUUGAAGUUGAAGAAUUGAAGAUACAAAGAUUCCUAAUUGAAGUGGGAAAGUGCUUAAUUGAAGAUGAAAUCCUAGUUGAAGAUGGAUUCCUAGUUGAAGUUGGAUUCCUAGAAGAUUGAAGUUUCCUACUCAAACAAGGUUUCCUACUUGAAGAAGGGAAGUUGAAGCCAAAGAAUCAGCUCAAGUGAAGAAACCUUAUCCAAAACAUUAUCCAAACCCUAUCCUAUCCAAUCCUAUCUUAUCUUAUCCUAUCCUAAUCCUAUCCUAAUUUAAUUCCAGCUGCAUGGGGGAUUUAUUUUCAGAUUAGGACACAUUAAAAUUGGUUUCUAGAAGCCCUUAUCCACUCCUACAAAGGUGCCACACCUUAUCCCUUGUUUUUUCUAGAAAUCAGCCACAAAACAACCUUUCUAGAAGGCCUUAUCCUUUGUCCUACAAAAGUGACGCCCCAAACCUUUCUAGAACUUCUAGAAACCUGAUUAUUCCUUUCUCCCUUGGUUUCUAAAAGCCUUAGCCUUUUCCUUCAAGGAUUGUGUGUUAUUAUCCUAUACAAAUUAGGCUUUUAAAUCCUUUUCCUUUGCUACAUAGGGGCUGCGAAUUUCAGCCUAUAAAUACCAUCCUUUGCUGCACCAUUUAGUCACCAUCCUCUACCAUAUUUUCACUACACCAUUCACCCAAAUAUACCUCUUGUGCCGUGAGUUUGCAAAGGAGAAGAAGGAAGAACUCUUGGAGCCGUGCAUGCCAUUCAAGGAGCUUGGAUUGUGGAGCGUUUCUAGGUGUUUUCUAUCUUUGUUUUAAUGUUUAAAUUUAUUUAUCUUUGUUUAUUUGCGAGUAUGAGGAACUAAACCCCCUUGGCUAGGGGGGAUUCGAAACCAUGUUUAUGCUUGCUAUAUGAUUUGAUUACUUCUAAUUGUGUUUCAUAAGUUGUGAGUUCAAUUUGCUUAUCUAUGUGAAUUAAAACUUAUUCUUGUAUGUUGAUUGAGGGUCGACACUUAGUUUGCAUGCAUGAAUUUGAUGCUAGGAUAUAAGGGAAUUUCACCUAAUCGUUAUGAACUUAUAUUCACAAGUAGUAAAGGUUGUUGAUCACAAUCGUGUUAAGUAAAUUCUUGGCAUAAGUUUCAUGCAAUCAUAGUAACAAGUGCUUCGUCAAUGCUUAUGGUUUUCAUAGAACUUAAUGAUUCUUGCUUGUAUCUCUAUUAUGCAAUCAUGUAGGGGACUUGUGGGGAAUGCUUUGGGUUGUCGUAUGCAAUUCAUCCAAUUCAAUAACUUAAGGAAAAUCUGAGGGUUAAUUUAAGCGGACCUAAUUAACUUGGGGCGUUGAGAAUUCAUGGUUUAUUGAAAAGCAAUUGGAAAUCGUUUUAUAUGCAAGUGUAACAUGUGUGGAGAUGAACCCCUUAGCUAGCCUUCCAUCCAUUCAAAUCAUCCAAAUUCGUUUAAAAUCUGUUUUAGUUUACAAAGUUUUGUUUUGUUUUUAAAUUCGUCCAAAAUCAAUCCCCCUUUUCUUUGUUGAGUCAUACUAGUUAGAAAUCAAUUAAGUUUGUGUUUUUAAGUGUCUUGAGUCAAGUUAUAAUCAAUUUUCGUCCAAAUUCUUCCUGAGUGUCAGAAACUGCCCAGAAAGUGUUUUAAGGCAGUUUUGAGUGUUUGUUUGCUGUUUUGAGUCUUUUUGUUUGUUUUGGUGUUUUAAAGUUUAGUUUUGCAUUCUUUGAGUCUAGUUUAGUGUUUUAAACUUGUUUUUACGUAUUUGAGUCGGUUUUCAAGUGAUUUAGCAAUCCCUCCUAAUCCCCGGCCUAGAACGAUCCCUACUUACAUACUUACUACAAUCGAUAAAAAGAGGGUUAAUUUGUGUGUCAACAUAAUUUUCACAUCACAUAUAGAUAUCCAUUGUCUAGGCCUACUAUUCAGCCAUUUAUGAAAUGACUACAGAAGAGGUAUCAUCACUGAUGACCAAGCUGAUUGGCUCUAGUGCAAGUGGGAGAUUGUUGGAAAUGUGCCCUAAAACCAAUCAUAUGAUGAUACUUUACGGACAUUUCACAUGUUAAACUAAUCUAGUUUAAUAUCAAGGGCAAAGAUUAUUGUUUGAGCGGUCUCAUAUAAAUGUUAUAUGCUUAAACUAUAAGUCCAAGGAAUAUGUGAUUGGGAGAAUGCAAUCUAAAGAAGUUAGAUUCAUGAGACCAUUCUUUCGUAGACACAUCCUAAACAUUCCUGAUCAUAGGAUUGCCAAUUGGGCAUUGACAGUCCGUUAAGAUCAGUACGUGCUGUGUCUUCUCUCAGGGAGAGUGACUAGUCUUGAGUCAUUGGUGUGUGUGACAUCAAGACAAGUACGUAGGUGCUCAAUAGAGAAUGAGUUCACUGAACACGAUCAACGAAGAGUUCUCAUAUUCAUGUCACAUGAGAACUCAUGGUUGGGAUAAUGCAAAGUAGUCAUUUGACCUGAGGCAUCAUAGUUGUCUUGUGGUUAAGUCCUUGAUCUUUGAUUAUGUCAAAGUCACUCCAUCAGGAGGGUGUCCAUGGCAUAGUUGGGGUUAAGCCACUUAGCUAUGGAGGCAAGUGAAUGCGCAACAAGGGAUCUCUAACCUUCAAACCUUUUGGGGGAGAAUACUCUAUGAUAUGAUUUAGAAUCUCUGGCCAGAGUAUGAAUGAGAUUUAGGAAGGCGUUCCAAAUCACAUUCAAGGUAAUCAUAU